UAAGCAAGAUAUGAAAGCGUACGGCUCAACCGUAUAUCCGUAUUUUGAACUGAUUAACUAGAGGGCGAGAGAGGUUAUUGGAAUUUCUUGUGUAGGAGUGAAAUCCGUAGAUAUAAGAAGGAACACCGAUGGCGUAGGCAGAUAACUGGCUCGCACCUGACACUGAGGCACGAAAGCGUGGGGAGCAAACGGGAUUAGAUACCCCGGUAGUCCACGCCGUAAACUAUGGAUGCUA
This 235-nucleotide ribosomal RNA is filed under the name uncultured Candidatus Saccharibacteria bacterium. Its description in RNAcentral is "partial 16S ribosomal RNA". It matches the Rfam family "Bacterial small subunit ribosomal RNA", at positions 584 to 818 of the family's 1533-position model. The record is from RNAcentral. Lineage: Bacteria; Candidatus Saccharimonadota.